AUCCCUGUGGCUCAGUUGGUAGAGCAUGGUGUUUGCAACGCCAUGGUUGUGGGUUCGAUUCCCACGGGGGGCC
This 73-nucleotide transfer RNA is filed under the name Salmo salar (Atlantic salmon). It matches the Rfam family "tRNA". From Rfam's summary of the family: Transfer RNA (tRNA) molecules are approximately 80 nucleotides in length. Their secondary structure includes four short double-helical elements and three loops (D, anti-codon, and T loops). Further hydrogen bonds mediate the characteristic L-shaped molecular structure. tRNAs have two regions of fundamental functional importance: the anti-codon, which is responsible for specific mRNA codon recognition, and the 3' end, to which the tRNAs corresponding amino acid is attached (by aminoacyl-tRNA synthetases). tRNAs cope with the degeneracy of the genetic code in two manners: having more than one tRNA (with a specific anti-codon) for a particular amino acid; and 'wobble' base-pairing, i.e. permitting non-standard base-pairing at the 3rd anti-codon position. The record is from Rfam by way of RNAcentral. Lineage: Eukaryota; Metazoa; Chordata; Actinopteri; Salmoniformes; Salmonidae.